Molecule: unclassified non-coding RNA, 26 nt
Filed under: Mus musculus (house mouse)
Lineage: Eukaryota; Metazoa; Chordata; Mammalia; Rodentia; Muridae
Description: oocyte_clustered_small_RNA8864
Source: RNAcentral
UUGAAGUGACCACGAUCAAUGUCCAA